CAGCAGCCGCGGUAAUACAGAGGGUGCGAGCGUUAAUCGGAUUUACUGGGCGUAAAGCGUGCGUAGGCGGCUAAUUGAGUCGGAUGUGAAAUCCCCGAGCUUAACUUGGGAAUUGCAUUCGAUACUGGUUAGCUAGAGUGUGGGAGAGGAUGGUAGAAUUCCAGGUGUAGCGGUGAAAUGCGUAGAGAUCUGGAGGAAUACCGAUGGCGAAGGCAGCCAUCUGGCCUAACACUGACGCUGAGGUACGAAAGCAUGGGGAGCAAACAGGAUUAGAUACCCCGUAGUCCCUGUCUCUUAUACA
This 301-nucleotide ribosomal RNA is filed under the name uncultured bacterium. RNAcentral's name for it is "partial 16S ribosomal RNA". It matches the Rfam family "Bacterial small subunit ribosomal RNA", at positions 509 to 808 of the family's 1533-position model. The record is from RNAcentral.